This 497-nucleotide ribosomal RNA is filed under the name uncultured bacterium. Its description in RNAcentral is "partial 16S ribosomal RNA". It matches the Rfam family "Bacterial small subunit ribosomal RNA", at positions 28 to 507 of the family's 1533-position model. The record is from RNAcentral.
GAUGAACGCUGGCGGCGUGCCUAAUACAUGCAAGUCGAGCGAACGGACGAGAAGCCUGCCUCUCUGAUGUUAGCGUCGGACGGGUGAGUAACACGUGGAUAACCUACCUUUAAGACUGGGAUUACUUCGUGAAACCGGAGGUAAUACCGGCUAAUAUUUUGAACCGCAUGGUUCAAAAGUGUAAGACGUUCUUCCUUUCACUGAUAGAUGGAGCCGCUCUGCAUUAGCUAGUGGGUAAGGUAACGGCUUACCAAGGCAACGAUGCAUAGCCGACCUGAGAGGAUGAUCAGCCACACUGGAACUGAGACACGGUCCAGACUCCUACGGGAGGCAGCAGUAGGGAAUAUUGCGCAAUGGGCGAAAGCCUGACGGAGCCACGCCGCGUGAAUGAUGAAGGUCUUCGGAUCGUAAAACUCUGUUAUUAGGGAAGAACAUAUGUGUAAGAAACUCUGCACAUAUUGACGGUACCUAAACAGAAAGCCACGGCUAACUACGUG